GGUUGCCUUUGAGAGAGUGCAUUGGAUGCUCCUCGGGCUUAUGACGGAUGUACUUGAAGCCAUUCAGCUGGAAAAUCCUAUAUACUGAGCGACGCCAACUUCCUGAGCGAUUCGAACGAAGAGGAAAUGCGAACGUGGGAUGAGUCAAUGCGAAAAAUGAGAAGAAGACGGAUGGCAAAAAAAAAAAAAAAGAAAAAAGAAAAAGGGAAAAAGAAAUGCCAAAGAUAGACAAAGGCAAUGGCAUAGUUUUUUGCGCGUAUAAUGGUAACUGACACGUUGUCUGUUCCAAACACAAAUAGAGCAACAGUGCAAGGAUGAUGAAGAGAGAGAGAGAGAGAGAUGGACAGAGUGAGAGAGAGGGAGAGGGGUGAUAUAGCACAGGCGCACUUUUUACUCUCUUCCGUAUUAUUAUUAUUUUUUUCUUCUGUUACACGGCCGAUUUCGACGAGGCAGAAUAAAUAGCCGGGCGAGAAAAAAAAGGGCAAAUCAUUGCAAUAGGAAAUGAAAAUGCUGCGAACUGAGAGAGAGAGAGUGAGGAAAUCGAAAAGAGACAGCAAAAUCAAUAGGAAACAGUAUGAGGAUAUUUAAGCAGGAUAUUUAAUAUGAGCACCUAAAGCUUUAUAACCUUUAUAACUGGCAUACA
Molecule: long non-coding RNA, 643 nt
Organism: Drosophila sulfurigaster albostrigata
Lineage: Eukaryota; Metazoa; Arthropoda; Insecta; Diptera; Drosophilidae
Exons: 3
Source: RefSeq, a predicted model, not a curated record